UGAGAGUUAACCAUUAAAGCUAGGAAACUAUAUUUAAUACUAUACAAAAUAUGUACAUCAUAUUUGAUAUUUUUAGGGUUAACUUGAUUGACUAUGUCUUAUAAAGUUCUAGAUAAAAGCUGAUAAUGACAACUUUGUAUCUAUAGUCUCGACCAAAUCUUGUGCCAGCAGUCGCGGUAAGACAAGGGAGACUAGUGUUAUUCAUCUUUAUUAGGUAUAAAGGGUACCUAGACAGUAUAUCACGCCCAAAUAGGGUACGGAUAAGACUUGAGUUUUAGUGUAAGAGGGAGAUAUCAGAACUAUUGGUGUAGAGAUGAAAUGUUUUGAUACCUUUAGGACGGGUAAUGGCGAAGGCAAACCUUUAUGUGAAAACUGACGUUGAGGGACGAAGGCUUGGGAAGUGAAGAGGAUUAGAUACCCCCGUAGUCCAAGCAGACAAUGAUGAGUGUCAUAGGUUAAAAUAUUUUUAGACUAUAAAUGAAAAUGUAAGCACUCCACCUCAAGAGUAAUGCGGCAACGCAGGAACUGAAAUCAUUAGACCG
This 542-nucleotide ribosomal RNA is filed under the name Cenococcum geophilum. RNAcentral describes it as "SSU rRNA". The stretch from base 98 to 542 matches the Rfam family "Bacterial small subunit ribosomal RNA", at positions 1 to 916 of the family's 1533-position model. Lineage: Eukaryota; Fungi; Ascomycota; Dothideomycetes; Gloniales; Gloniaceae. The record is from RNAcentral.